ACUCAAUCACUCAAGUGUUUAAGGUGACACUCCAACUCUCUAUUAUUCACAAGUCACAUGAAACAAAAUUGCCAUUCAUCUCAAACAAUCAACAUCUUUACAUGCAAAUGCCAUCAAAAGGACUUUUCCAAGGCUUGGAAUGUGGUUGGGCUAAGAAGAAAAAUUGGUUUUUUUUCGGAAAGCAAAGUCCUUGAGUCAAGAGAGCUAUCAUAAUAUUCAACAUUAAAGCACAACUCUCUCCCUCACCAAUCUCUCUCAUUUCCAAUUUUUCCCUUUUCUUUUACAUUGAGCUCACUUUUCAUGUUUUUCUUCUUUUCUUUUCUUUUUCUCACGAAUUUUUCUUUUCACAACAUUUGAGCUCAAUGCUUUNCAUUUGCCUUUCAAUUUCCCUCAUACAACCCCAAACUUGAACCUUUUCAUCAUAUACAAUUAAGCUCAUCUCAACUCAAGGUAAAAAAUGGCAAAACAAGGGUUCACAUCCUGUUAAGGCUAAGGUUCAAAAAGGGUAUAAUAUUUUCAAGCACUUUGGGUGAAAAUUUGGCUAGAGAAGGGUUCUCAAAAAUGGCCUUGAUCAUAUGAAAUUCACAUGCAAUUCCAUCAAUCAUCAAGAUUAAGGCAAUAUCAUUGAUGUUUUCCUAUGAACAAUGCAUACAACAAUAAAAACUUUGGAGCUCAAAACCUCACACAACAUGCUUUCUCACACAAGGUUCAUUCAUACAUCAUGCUUAGCAUCAUAACCACAAUCAUAAUUCAUCACACAUCUAUUUCACUGGAUAUCAACAUGCAUUGCAACUCAAUUCUCAUCCACCUCAAGUCCUCAUCAAAUAGGCUCAUCAUGCAUAUCAGUCAGUCAAACAUUUUCAGAAAAAGUGUUCAAGCUAAGAAUACACACU
Molecule: long non-coding RNA, 893 nt
Filed under: Vigna radiata
Lineage: Eukaryota; Viridiplantae; Streptophyta; Magnoliopsida; Fabales; Fabaceae
Description: long non-coding RNA (VRAD_LNC014206)
Source: RNAcentral